Unclassified non-coding RNA from Microcebus murinus (gray mouse lemur), 275 nucleotides. Its record names the gene 7SK. It matches the Rfam family "7SK RNA". Rfam says of the family: 7SK was discovered as an abundant small nuclear RNA in the mid-70s but a possible function has only recently been suggested. Two independent studies have found that 7SK RNA binds the CDK9/cyclin T complex (known as elongation factor P-TEFb). The record is from Ensembl. Lineage: Eukaryota; Metazoa; Chordata; Mammalia; Primates; Cheirogaleidae.
GGAUGUCUGGGUGACCUGCCUAUUACAGCUGUCCCCACUGAUCCCUUGGAAUGGGUCACUUAAUCUGGCUGGAGGGACAGCUGCAGGAGUCCUCACGGCUCCAUGUGCACCUAUCUUGAGCUAGUCCCUUAAUUAAGGAGGGUAACAGUUCUUUAGCCAAAAAAGUGGGAGUUCUAUUUCUUUGGAGUUUAGCUCAAAAGUUGCUUUUCCAGUGAAAUCUUUCCUGAAGUUUCUUCUAUAACAGGAAACUGCAUUUAGUGAAUAUUUGUAGGUUC